This 1650-nucleotide ribosomal RNA is filed under the name Acinetobacter baumannii 655378. RNAcentral's name for it is "bacterial LSU rRNA". It matches the Rfam family "Bacterial large subunit ribosomal RNA", at positions 1295 to 2925 of the family's 2925-position model. Lineage: Bacteria; Pseudomonadati; Pseudomonadota; Gammaproteobacteria; Moraxellales; Moraxellaceae. The record is from RNAcentral.
UGCUGACGUGAGUAACGACAAAACGGGUGAAAAACCCGUUCGCCGAAAGACCAAGGGUUCCAGUCCAACGUUAAUCGGGGCUGGGUGAGUCGACCCCUAAGGCGAGGCCGAAAGGCGUAGUCGAUGGGAAAAUGGUUAAUAUUCCAUUACUUCUGUGUAAUGCGAUGAGAGGACGGAGAAGGCUAAAUCAGCCUGGCGUUGGUUGUCCAGGUGAAAGGAUGUAGGCAUGUAUCUUAGGCAAAUCCGGGGUACUCUAUGCUGAGAUCUGAUAGCAAGCUGUACUUGUACAGCGAAGUGGUUGAUGCCAUGCUUCCAGGAAAAGUCUCUAAGCUUCAGUUACACAGGAAUCGUACCCGAAACCGACACAGGUGGUCAGGUCGAGUAGACCAAGGCGCUUGAGAGAACUCUGCUGAAGGAACUAGGCAAAAUGGUACCGUAACUUCGGGAGAAGGUACGCUGUUGUUGGUGAUGGAACUCGCUUCCUGAGCUGACGACAGCCGCAGAAACCAGGCCGCUGCAACUGUUUAUUAAAAACAUAGCACUCUGCAAACACGAAAGUGGACGUAUAGGGUGUGAUGCCUGCCCGGUGCUGGAAGGUUAAUUGAUGGGGUUAGCGUAAGCGAAGCUCUUGAUCGAAGCCCCAGUAAACGGCGGCCGUAACUAUAACGGUCCUAAGGUAGCGAAAUUCCUUGUCGGGUAAGUUCCGACCUGCACGAAUGGCAUAAUGAUGGCGGCGCUGUCUCCAGCAGAGGCUCAGUGAAAUCGAAAUCGCUGUGAAGAUGCAGUGUACCCGCGGCUAGACGGAAAGACCCCGUGAACCUUUACUGCAGCUUGACACUGAACUUUGACCUUACUUGUGUAGGAUAGGUGGGAGGCUUUGAAGCUGGAACGCUAGUUCCAGUGGAGCCGUCCUUGAAAUACCACCCUGGUAAUGUUGAGGUUCUAACUCUGUCCCGUGAUCCGGGACGAGGACCGUGUCUGGUGGGUAGUUUGACUGGGGCGGUCUCCUCCUAAAGAGUAACGGAGGAGUACGAAGGUGCGCUCAGCGUGGUCGGAAAUCACGCGUAGAGUAUAAAGGCAAAAGCGCGCUUAACUGCGAGACCCACAAGUCGAGCAGGUACGAAAGUAGGUCUUAGUGAUCCGGUGGUUCUGUAUGGAAGGGCCAUCGCUCAACGGAUAAAAGGUACUCUGGGGAUAACAGGCUGAUACCGCCCAAGAGUUCAUAUCGACGGCGGUGUUUGGCACCUCGAUGUCGGCUCAUCUCAUCCUGGGGCUGAAGCAGGUCCCAAGGGUAUGGCUGUUCGCCAUUUAAAGAGGUACGCGAGCUGGGUUUAGAACGUCGUGAGACAGUUCGGUCCCUAUCUACCGUGGGCGCUGGAAAUUUGAGAGGAUCUGCUCCUAGUACGAGAGGACCAGAGUGGACGAACCUCUGGUGUACCGGUUGUGACGCCAGUCGCAUCGCCGGGUAGCUAUGUUCGGAAGGGAUAACCGCUGAAAGCAUCUAAGCGGGAAGCCUACCUCAAGAUAAGAUUUCCCUAGGACUUUAUGUCCUCUAAAGAGCCGUUCGAGACUAGGACGUUGAUAGGUUGGAUGUGGAAGCAUAGUGAUAUGUGAAGCUGACCAAUACUAAUUGCUCGUGAGGCUUGACUA